UACGUAGGGGGCGAGCGUUGCUCGGAAUGACUGGGCGUAAAGGGCGCGUAGGCGGAUGACACAGUCAGAUGUGAAAUUCCCGGGCUUAACCUGGGGGCUGCAUUUGAGACGUGCUGUCUAGAGUGAGGAAGAGGGUUGUGGAAUUCCCAGUGUAGAGGUGAAAUUCGUAGAUAUUGGGAAGAACACCGGUGGCGAAGGCGGCAACCUGGUCCUUGACUGACGCUGAGGCGCGAAAGCGUGGGGAGCAAACAGG
RNAcentral lists this ribosomal RNA (253 nucleotides) under uncultured bacterium. RNAcentral describes it as "partial 16S ribosomal RNA". It matches the Rfam family "Bacterial small subunit ribosomal RNA", at positions 524 to 776 of the family's 1533-position model. The record is from RNAcentral.